Molecule: long non-coding RNA, 374 nt
Organism: Neltuma alba
Lineage: Eukaryota; Viridiplantae; Streptophyta; Magnoliopsida; Fabales; Fabaceae
Exons: 3
Source: RefSeq, a predicted model, not a curated record
AGCUUUACUUUCAAAUUGAUCAAGAUGCUGGGAUGGCAUCAACUAAAUUGAAAGCUCUGAUUGAUCUUUUUGAUGAAAUAGUAGAAGAACCCCUUUUCAAUCAACUGAGGACAAAGGAGCAGCUUGGUUAUGUUGUUGAAUGCAGCCCACGUUUAACAUACCGUGUUUUUUGGGUUUUGUUUCUGCGUUCAGUCAUCUGAGUACAACCCCAUUUACUUGCAAGGAAGAAUUGAUAACUUCAUAGAUGGCCUGGAACAAUUGUUGGAAGGACUUGAUGGCGAUUCCUUUGAGCACUAUAGAAGUGGGUUGAUGGCAAGGCUAUUGGAAAAAGAUCCGUCACUUACGUAUGAAACCAGUAGAUUUUGGAAUCAGAU